This 1027-nucleotide long non-coding RNA is filed under the name Phasianus colchicus (ring-necked pheasant). Its description in RNAcentral is "lncRNA (ENSPCLG00000001013.1)". The record is from RNAcentral. Lineage: Eukaryota; Metazoa; Chordata; Aves; Galliformes; Phasianidae.
AGAAUAGAAAGUUUUAUAUUUUAUUAACUGUAUGCAACUAUUUACAAACUGCUUUUACAAACUGUUACUUCUUAAUCUGGUGUAAAAUCUUGUAAAACAAACAUUACUGUUUUGUUCUUCAGCUACCUAGUCUUUAUCAGACUAAAUAAAAACUUUAAAAUGUGGCCUCCAUGCCACCUACAUAUAACUACCUUCUUGCCUGGAAAUCGGUGCACCUGAAGAAAAAGAAUAAUGAAAGAAGGAAGUUUCACUCUGCAUCAUCUGCUAAAAGGAGGCAGUCACAUAUUUCUAAAGUAGGGGAAAAGUAUUUAAAAGGGGCUGGGAUAUCUGAUGGAAUGGUACCCCAGGAGCGCUCCAGAAGUUGCACUGUCAGGAGCUGAACAUUAUCCACAAGAGCUAGACAAUGUAUUGCCCAAGAAGCUUGUUCGUCUUAACUGUCUGCUUUAUUGCUACAUCCCUCGGUAAUCGACAAAGCAACAUCCACAAAUGCUUUGAAGGUGUGCAGUGGAGUGAACUUUUAAAUGAGAUUGAGAAACUUAACUCUAGAAGCUAUUCUUUGGAGUGUGAUGAAGUGAGCAACGAAGAAUUGUGCUUUCCUGAGAAAUUGCUAAAAGCAGUAAGUAGUAACAUGAAUGUACUUAGUUGUUUUUCAUUGUAACAUCUGUACUUCACAUAGAUAUGUACCUUGACACAAGACUUCACAUUAGAGGUAUGGCAUAACAAUUGUCAAGGUUUAAAUGGUAAAUCAGAUUAUUGAAUUUUCACUCCAAAUUCUUCUCCCUGAGAGUUUACUGGCUAAUGAAAUAUACCUAGUCACAUACUCUGGAAUCCACCAGGUCUCCCAGGGCUCCCUGCUAUCCAGCAUCAGCUGAAAACAUAAUACCCCAGUUUACUUUGCAAGAAAACACUCCUACUCAAAAGAGAAUACUUCCAACAUCAUGAAGAAACACUUCUUUGGCACAAGUGAUCUUGGAAAACAUUUUUGGAAAUCAGAAAUAUUAUAAAGGAAUAUUUCCUUGCCCAUUUU